This is a long non-coding RNA of Oncorhynchus tshawytscha (Chinook salmon), 2221 nucleotides long. The record is from Ensembl. NCBI's taxonomy places the organism in Eukaryota, Metazoa, Chordata, Actinopteri, Salmoniformes, Salmonidae.
CGGGAAGUAGAGGUGCUAAGAUAUAUAAUAACAGCGGUCUGAUACAGACAUCUCCAUUAAAUCGAGUUAAGGAAGAACAUGAGUGGCUCUUAGAAAAGUCUUUUGACAUUUUCAAAAAUGUGGCAAUGAUCCCUUUUUCCACUUUCACCAACUUCCACCGGAAAAGCAGGUCCCAGCCAAACAAUGACUCAUACGACAUAUUAAUGAUGGAGAUGGGGUCAUACUAUGGAUAUUUUGGGAUGGCAAGGUAAUUGGAUAUUGUUGUCAGGGGUGGUGCUUGUAGGUGGGGCUGAAUUGGACUACUUAUCUCAGUGCAUCUUAAGCUUCCAUCUAUGAAUGAGAUUGCUUUAUGGAAAGAAACACCAUGAACACUCCACUAUUGAUGUUUGUUCUUCUGACUCUACCCUGCUACAGCGCACAUGGGCAGAUKAAUSCUUUUGGAAUUCCAGUCUCCGUCCAUGCUGGGAAGUUCUACGGCACGUCUCCCAGAGAUCACGUCUGCGACAGGGUUAAUUAUAGCGGUCUAGAUUUCACCUGCUGUGAAGGAGUACGUCAUGAAGGGGCGGGGCUGUCCUGCUGUGGAAACAGGGUCUUUAACCUCACCCAGGCUUCCUGUUGUAAAGGUCAGUUAACUCUGAAUGUGAGCCAGCUGGUGUCAGAUUGCUGUGGGUGUAGGCCCUACGACCCACUCAACCAGCUGUGUUGUGACUCACGGAUCCUAACCAGGACCCAACCUCAUGCCAAGUGUUGUGGAAAAGAGCUUUACGAUGAAGACCACCAGCUUUGCUGUGGAAAUGUUUUGAAAGGAAGGAAGGUCCUGGCCAAAAUGUCCAGUCACCACCGAUGCUGUGGAGACCACCAGUUUGACCAGCAAAGCCACUGCUGCUGCUCUGAAACACUAUCCCCAGAGCCUCUCAAUGCAAGCUGCUGUGCAUCAACAAGUUCUAAUUACAGGGGAAUUGACGCGAGUUCUCCAAACUGUAUGCCAGGGGAGAGGCCCGAGGGUUGCUGUGUGAACCAUACAUCCUGCCAGGGGCAUCCUCACUCCCACCUCCAGACCUCUGCGGAAACACGCAGCCACACCCCAGGUCUCCACGAUGAUGCUGGCUGUGGCUCUCAGGUUUACAAUCCAGACCACAAGACCUGCUGUGCCGGGAAGCUGUCCAAUAGGGUGCUCGGAAAAAACCUGUGCUGCGGUAAAACUCCCUAUGCUGUAGAGGACCGACGGGUGCUGUGCUGUAACCAGACGUUGCACCGUGGGGUGGAGGCUGGGCACCAGUGCUCCCCAGGUGGCCACUUGUAUCGGCCAUCCCGUGAAAUUGUGUGUGAGUCACGUGUUCAUCUCAACGAUCUAGGCAAACACUGCUGUGGAGAAGAGACCUACGACCCUCAGGAUGAAAUCUGCUGCAACGGACACAAACACCGCAGGUUGGGGAACAUGUCCUGCUGCGGAGGGAAGGCCUACGACCCCAGAAGUGGCCAGAUGAAGUGCUGUGCAGAUACUCUGUACAACCUGCAGGUUCAGGACAGGCUCUCAGAGGAUGCCAAGUGCUGUGGGAAUAUCCUGAUGGAGGCCGGCUCCACCUGCUGCUCCGCCCCAGGACUAGACCUGCUCUACCCUACCCAGCCAGGGUUCACCUGCUGUGGGCACCGCUACCCCAACUCCUCCCUGUGGUCUUGCUGCGCGGGCGUCCUGCACCCAAGGACUGAACGAAACACCACCAGCAUGAACAUGAUUCCAGGACUUAGGAUUCUACCACUGGGGGACCUGAAGACGGAAAAGUUGUGUGACAACAAAGUUCUGCUAGGGACAGUGGAGAGUGUGUCUGUGAAGAGGAAUGAGCGGUCCAUCAUGAUGGGGAAGGUCAUGUCCAUGCAGGCCUUGUGUGGCCCUGUCAACGCCCUGCCUGCCCCUCACUACCUCACAUACUGCAGCUCUACUGAACUGGUGCCGGGCAACACUGACAUCUGGGUGGAAACAAGACAUUUCUCAGAAACAGUAAACUUCAUCUCUGAUCUCAGCGACUAUUCCUCCCUUCUCUCUUCCACCCUCUCCAGGAAGAAAGCCGUUACUACAACGUAUCCAAUUGACCACCAGAGACAUUCUUCAAAGGACUCGGUUGGGCAACACGCCUUCCAUCUACCACCAACCUACCGAAGCGCAGCUCAGACUUGGCAACAAGAGAUCCAGCAGGAAAGUCCCGUCCAGAACAACCAAUGA